Felis catus (domestic cat) is the source of this 85-nucleotide non-coding RNA. The record is from Rfam. NCBI's taxonomy places the organism in Eukaryota, Metazoa, Chordata, Mammalia, Carnivora, Felidae.
GCCUGGGUGGCUCAGUCAGUUGAGCAUCCGACUUCGGAUCGGGUCAUGAUCUCACAGCUUGUGAGUUCAAGCCCCAUGUCGGGCU